RNAcentral lists this ribosomal RNA (1419 nucleotides) under Salinibacterium sp. BA-73-09. Its description in RNAcentral is "bacterial SSU rRNA". It matches the Rfam family "Bacterial small subunit ribosomal RNA". Lineage: Bacteria; Bacillati; Actinomycetota; Actinomycetes; Micrococcales; Microbacteriaceae. The record is from RNAcentral.
AGUCGAACGGUGAACUUGGGAGCUUGCUUCCGGGGGAUCAGUGGCGAACGGGUGAGUAACACGUGAGUAACCUGCCCCAGACUCUGGGAUAAGCGUUGGAAACGACGUCUAAUACCGGAUACGAGCUUCAGCCGCAUGGCUAGGAGUUGGAAAGAAUUUUGGUCUGGGAUGGACUCGCGGCCUAUCAGCUAGUUGGUGAGGUAAUGGCUCACCAAGGCGACGACGGGUAGCCGGCCUGAGAGGGUGACCGGCCACACUGGGACUGAGACACGGCCCAGACUCCUACGGGAGGCAGCAGUGGGGAAUAUUGCACAAUGGGCGAAAGCCUGAUGCAGCAACGCCGCGUGAGGGACGACGGCCUUCGGGUUGUAAACCUCUUUUAGUAGGGAAGAAGCGAAAGUGACGGUACCUGCAGAAAAAGCACCGGCUAACUACGUGCCAGCAGCCGCGGUAAUACGUAGGGUGCAAGCGUUAUCCGGAAUUAUUGGGCGUAAAGAGCUCGUAGGCGGUUUGUCGCGUCUGCUGUGAAAACCCGAGGCUCAACCUCGGGCCUGCAGUGGGUACGGGCAGACUAGAGUGCGGUAGGGGAGAUUGGAAUUCCUGGUGUAGCGGUGGAAUGCGCAGAUAUCAGGAGGAACACCGAUGGCGAAGGCAGAUCUCUGGGCCGUUACUGACGCUGAGGAGCGAAAGCAUGGGGAGCGAACAGGAUUAGAUACCCUGGUAGUCCAUGCCGUAAACGUUGGGAACUAGAUGUAGGGACCAUUCCACGGUUUCUGUGUCGCAGCUAACGCAUUAAGUUCCCCGCCUGGGGAGUACGGCCGCAAGGCUAAAACUCAAAGGAAUUGACGGGGGCCCGCACAAGCGGCGGAGCAUGCGGAUUAAUUCGAUGCAACGCGAAGAACCUUACCAAGGCUUGACAUAUACCGGAAAAGUUCAGAAAUGUUCUCCCCGCAAGGUCGGUAUACAGGUGGUGCAUGGUUGUCGUCAGCUCGUGUCGUGAGAUGUUGGGUUAAGUCCCGCAACGAGCGCAACCCUCGUUCUAUGUUGCCAGCACGUAAUGGUGGGAACUCAUAGGAGACUGCCGUGGUCAACACGGAGGAAGGUGGGGAUGACGUCAAAUCAUCAUGCCCCUUAUGUCUUGGGCUUCACGCAUGCUACAAUGGCCGAUACAAAGGGCUGCAAUACCGCGAGGUGGAGCGAAUCCCAAAAAGUCGGUCUCAGUUCGGAUUGAGGUCUGCAACUCGACCUCAUGAAGUCGGAGUCGCUAGUAAUCGCAGAUCAGCAACGCUGCGGUGAAUACGUUCCCGGGCCUUGUACACACCGCCCGUCAAGUCAUGAAAGUCGGUAACACCCGAAGCCAGUGGCCUAACCGCAAGGAAGGAGCUGUCGAAGGUGGGAUCGGUAAUUAGGACUAAGUCG